Molecule: ribosomal RNA, 434 nt
Filed under: Trapania vitta
Lineage: Eukaryota; Metazoa; Mollusca; Gastropoda; Nudibranchia; Goniodorididae
Description: partial large subunit ribosomal RNA
Rfam family: Archaeal large subunit ribosomal RNA
Source: RNAcentral
AGCCUCAGGGAAUCAUCUGAGGUUAGACCUGCCCAAUGUGUGAAAUCAAUGGCCGCGGUACUUUGACCGUGCUAAGGUAGCGCAAUCAAUUGGCUUUUAAUUGGAGCCAGGUAUGAAUGGAGUCACGGGGUUUAGCUGUCUCUUUUUUAUUUUAUUGAAGUUACUUUGUAGGUGAAAAAGCCUACGUUUAACAGGGGGACGAGAAGACCCUUAGAGUUUUACUUAUAUUAUUUUCUUAUAAUAGUUUAGUUGGGGCAACUUAGGAUCAGUGAUUACAACAUCCUUUAAUGAAUUUACCGAUUUUUAUAAACUUGAAUAAACUACCUUAGGGAUAACAGCAUAAUUUUAUAAGUAAGUUUGUGACCUCGAUGUUGGACUAGGGAACUAUAAGGCUAGCCGCUUUUUAGGUGGGUUCUGUUCGAACUAUUAUUCCU